GUGAGCUGGAGCACGACAUACUGCUACGGCAGAGGAAACUCCUCCCUCCGUACAGGAAAUGUGAUCUGGAGAUAGAUAAUCAGAGAUGGUUGGCAACGGAGCAGAAAAAAAUCCAAUAUGGCGCACUGUGAUGGCAAAACCUGAGGUUUCCAUAAAAGGAAUGAAAAAAGCCGCCCCACAUGGAGCAAGGCCAAACAGAACUUAAAGUUCCUGUACUAGGUUC
RNAcentral lists this RNase P RNA (223 nucleotides) under Candidatus Nitrosopumilus sp. RNAcentral describes it as "Nitrosopumilus sp. partial RNase P RNA component". It matches the Rfam family "Archaeal RNase P", at positions 1 to 230 of the family's 288-position model. Rfam says of the family: Ribonuclease P (RNase P) is a ubiquitous endoribonuclease, found in archaea, bacteria and eukarya as well as chloroplasts and mitochondria. Its best characterised activity is the generation of mature 5'-ends of tRNAs by cleaving the 5'-leader elements of precursor-tRNAs. Lineage: Archaea; Thermoproteati; Nitrososphaerota; Nitrososphaeria; Nitrosopumilales; Nitrosopumilaceae. The record is from RNAcentral.